AGAUUGAACGCUGGCGGCAGGCCUAACGCAUGCAAGUCGAGCGGCAGCACGGGUACUUGUACCUGGUGGCGAGCGGCGGACGGGUGGGUAAUGCCUAGGAAUCUGCCUGGUAGUGGGGGAUAACGCUCGGAAACGGACGCUAAUACCGCAUACGUCCUACGGGAGAAAGCAGGGGACCUUCGGGCCUUGCGCUAUCAGAUGAGCCUAGGUCGGAUUAGCUAGUUGGUGAGGUAAUGGCUCACCAAGGCGACGAUCCGUAACUGGUCUGAGAGGAUGAUCAGUCACACUGGAACUGAGACACGGUCCAGACUCCGUACGGGGGCAGCAGUGGGAAUAUUGGACAAUGGGCGAAAGCCUGAUCCAGCCAUGCCGCGUGUGUGAAGAAGGUCUUCGGAUUGUAAAGCAACUUUAAGUUGGAGGAAGGCAAGUUACCUAAUACGUAUCUGUUUUUGACGUUACCGACAGAAUAAGCACGGCUAACUCUGUGCCAGCA
This 493-nucleotide ribosomal RNA is filed under the name uncultured soil bacterium. RNAcentral describes it as "bacterial SSU rRNA". It matches the Rfam family "Bacterial small subunit ribosomal RNA", at positions 26 to 513 of the family's 1533-position model. The record is from RNAcentral.